Molecule: ribosomal RNA, 253 nt
Filed under: uncultured bacterium
Lineage: Bacteria
Description: partial 16S ribosomal RNA
Rfam family: Bacterial small subunit ribosomal RNA
Source: RNAcentral
CACGUAGGGCGCAAGCGUUGUCCGGAAUUAUUGGGCGUAAAGAGCUCGUAGGCGGUUUGUCGCGUCGAAUGUGAAAACCCGGGGCUCAACCCCGGGCCUGCAUUCGAUACGGGCAGACUAGAGUUCGGUAGGGGAGAUCGGAAUUCCUGGUGUAGCGGUGAAAUGCGCAGAUAUCAGGAGGAACACCGGUGGCGAAGGCGGAUCUCUGGGCCGAUACUGACGCUGAGGAGCGAAAGCGUGGGGAGCGAACAGG